This is a non-coding RNA of Lentinula lateritia, 88 nucleotides long. The record is from the annotation of a GenBank genome assembly. Lineage: Eukaryota; Fungi; Basidiomycota; Agaricomycetes; Agaricales; Omphalotaceae.
GGUUCGAUGGCGUAGUUGGUUAUCGCAUCUGUCUAACACCACCCCUGUAGCACACAGAAGGUCCCCGGUUCGAGCCCGGGUCGAAUCA